GUCUAUGGCCACCCUGAAUGCACCCUAUCUCCUCUGAUCUCGGAAGCUAAGCAGAGUCAGGCCUGGUUAGUACUUGGCUGGGAGAAAUUAAAUACCAUUUACA
This is a ribosomal RNA of Fukomys damarensis (Damara mole-rat), 103 nucleotides long. NCBI's taxonomy places the organism in Eukaryota, Metazoa, Chordata, Mammalia, Rodentia, Bathyergidae. The record is from Ensembl.